AAAACUAAAAGAUCCGACAAAAUCCGAUUCUGAGAAAACAAAAUCAACGAUUUCAUACUAAAAGAAAAGGAUUUAAGGGAGAGCGAGAUUCAGAUGGUAGUGCAUGAUGGUAAGAUCAUCAAUGAUGGUCAGAGUUGGAUUGUUCUAUGGAAUCAUCUUUCAUCAUCAUUAUCACCGCUCUCUCCUCUUUAUUAAGAGUAAAACAUCGACUUUA
This 214-nucleotide small RNA is filed under the name Arabidopsis thaliana (thale cress). Its description in RNAcentral is "ATSL011040". Lineage: Eukaryota; Viridiplantae; Streptophyta; Magnoliopsida; Brassicales; Brassicaceae. The record is from RNAcentral.